CACGGGGGGAGCAAGCGUUGUUCGGAUUCAUUGGGCGUAAAGGGCUCGUAGGCCGCUCUGUAAGUCGGAAGUGAAAGACCACGGCUCAACCGUGGAACCGCUUUCGAAACUGUGGAGCUUGAGGCCGGGAGAGGAGAUUGGAAUUCCUGGUGUAGCGGUGAAAUGCGUAGAUAUCAGGAGGAACACCCGUGGCGAAGGCGAAUCUCUGGACCGGUUCUGACGCUGAUGAGCGAAAGCUAGGGGAGCAAACAGG
Molecule: ribosomal RNA, 253 nt
Filed under: uncultured bacterium
Lineage: Bacteria
Description: partial 16S ribosomal RNA
Rfam family: Bacterial small subunit ribosomal RNA
Source: RNAcentral